Molecule: ribosomal RNA, 433 nt
Filed under: uncultured bacterium
Lineage: Bacteria
Description: partial 16S ribosomal RNA
Rfam family: Bacterial small subunit ribosomal RNA
Source: RNAcentral
AACGAACGCUGGCGGCAUGCCUAACACAUGCAAGUCGAACGAGACCUUCGGGUCUAGUGGCGCACGGGUACGUAACUCGUGGGAACCUGCCCUUAGGUUCGGAAUAACUCCCCGAAAGGGGUGCUAAUACCGGAUAAUGUCUUCGGCCCAAAGAUUUAUCGCCUUUGGAUGUGCCCGCGUUGGAUUAGCCAGUUGGUAAGGUAAAAGCCUACCAAGGCGACGAUCCAUAGCUGGUCUGAGAGGAUGAUCAGCCACACUGGGACUGAGACACGGCCCAGACUCCUACGGGAGGCAGCAGUGGGGAAUAUUGGACAAUGGGCGAAAGCCUGAUCCAGCAAUGCCGCGUGAGUGAUGAAGGCCUUAGGGUUGUAAAGCUCUUUUACCCGGGAUGAUAAUGACAGUACCGGGAGAAUAAGCCCCGGCUAACUCCGUG